RNAcentral lists this ribosomal RNA (214 nucleotides) under uncultured bacterium. RNAcentral describes it as "partial 16S ribosomal RNA". It matches the Rfam family "Bacterial small subunit ribosomal RNA", at positions 355 to 562 of the family's 1533-position model. The record is from RNAcentral.
UAGGGAAUCUUCCACAAUGGACGCAAGUCUGAUGGAGCAACGCCGCGUGAGUGAAGAAGGUUUUCGGACCGUAAAGCUCUGUUGUUGGUGAAGAAGGAUAGAGGUAGUAACUGGCCUUUAUUUGACGGUAAUCAACCAGAAAGUCACGGCUAACUACGUGCCAGCAGCCGCGGUAAUCGUAGGUGGCAAGCGUUGUCCGGAUUUAUUGGGCGUA